RNAcentral lists this long non-coding RNA (1027 nucleotides) under Vulpes vulpes (red fox). RNAcentral's name for it is "lncRNA (ENSVVUG00000014247.1)". Lineage: Eukaryota; Metazoa; Chordata; Mammalia; Carnivora; Canidae. The record is from RNAcentral.
AAAAGUUGCACCAUAACAUUUAUUUAAGCUCAGCGUUGUUUUAAAAUGUUAUCAAAAGUGGCAGAGAAGUUAUUUAUUCUCUUUUCUUAUUUUUCAUUCCAUGUUUGGUUGACUGGAGCUUCUCCCAAGAGAACUUAAGUGCAGAGCCAGCAGUACUACAUCCUAAAAUACUGUCAGUGAGAUGCAAAUCUAACAGCUCUAUGGGAGAACUCUUUAGCUUUUCCUUCAUUUUGCAUGUUGGGGAGAUGAUACAACAGUUAAACUUCAUAUCUUCUUUGAGAAGCAGGUUGUUUGAUGAGUUGUUGGUGAGAAGAAAAUCUACUAGAAAAAUACAAUAUUCUUUCUUUUGGUCCAUCACUGCAAGUUUCUACAAGGUUGAGAAAUUUUCCUGCAGCUGUAUGGGAUGUACAUCAUAUAAUCACAGAGCACAUAAUGACAAUGUGAAAAUGUGCUUCCAGCAAGAACAUCAGGGAUGGAACAUAGGAGCUAUUUAACAACAGAUUACCAAAUGUUCUGAGAAGACAGAAAAAACAUGGCUAUUCUGGCAAGAAAGGGGAGGCCAGAGAAAGAGAAAGUGGAUUCAGUGUUUAACAAUAACUAAGAAUUUACUAAUCAGGAUGACACAUAAGCAGAAGAACAACUUGUACAAAAUGAUAAAGGUAUGAAAGAACUUGGCAUUUGUGAAUAGUCCUACAUGAUAAAACUUUUCUACUGACUUAACCCAGUAAAAGAGCUAAAGGGCAUCUUUACAGCACAGUCUUUAAUACACUACUAAGUAUUCCUAAUCUCUGAAAUUCCUUGAUUCUAUCUAUGCACUAGUGCGAAAGAUUCACUAAUACCAUACACUCAUAAUUCAGAGAAUUUCUCAGGCUAAUUGGACAGGGAUGCUUUUCAGUGUGUCUCUCUGGGGUACCAGUCUUCCAGAUGUCACUAGUUAAGAAAUUGCAACUUGGAUGUGUGUUAUAUAGGUGCAUCCCUGUUUAAUUAUUCACUUUUCAAAAUAUGGUGAAUACAGCUACCACACUUG